CCUACGGGAGGCAGCAGUGGGGAAUAUUGGACAAUGGGCGAAAGCCUGAUCCAGCCAUGCCGCGUGUGUGAAGAAGGCCUUCGGGUUGUAAAGCACUUUCAGUGGGGAAGAAAGCCUUGGGGCUAAUACCCUCGAGGAAGGACAGCACCCACAGAAGAAGCACCGGCUAACUCCGUGCCAGCAGCCGCGGUAAUACGGAGGGUGCGAGCGUUAAUCGGAAUUACUGGGCGUAAAGCGCGCGUAGGCGGUCUGAUAAGCCGGUUGUGAAAGCCCCGGGCUCAACCUGGGAACGGCAUCCGGAACUGUCAGGCUUGAGUGCAGGAGAGGAGGGUAGAAUUCCCGGUGUAGCGGUGAAAUGCGUAGAGAUCGGGAGGAAUACCAGUGGCGAAGGCGGCCUUCUGGACUGACACUGACGCUGAGGUGCGAAAGCGUGGGUAGCAAACAGGAUUAGAUACCCCGGUAGUC
Molecule: ribosomal RNA, 465 nt
Filed under: Vreelandella stevensii
Lineage: Bacteria; Pseudomonadati; Pseudomonadota; Gammaproteobacteria; Oceanospirillales; Halomonadaceae
Description: partial 16S ribosomal RNA
Rfam family: Bacterial small subunit ribosomal RNA
Source: RNAcentral